This 553-nucleotide ribosomal RNA is filed under the name uncultured fungus. RNAcentral's name for it is "eukaryotic LSU rRNA". It matches the Rfam family "Eukaryotic large subunit ribosomal RNA", at positions 71 to 647 of the family's 3401-position model. Lineage: Eukaryota; Fungi. The record is from RNAcentral.
GGGAUUGCCCUAGUAACGGCGAGUGAAGCGGCAACAGCUCAAAUUUGAAAUCUGGCCUUCUGGUCCGAAUUGUAAUUUGUAGAGGAUGAUUUUGGUGCGGUACCUUCCGAGUUCCUUGGAACAGGACGCCUUAGAGGGUGAGAGCCCCGUACGGUUGGGAUGCCUAGCCUUUGUAAAUCUCCUUCGACGAGUCGAGUAGUUUGGGAAUGCUGCUCUAAAUGGGAGGUAAAUUUCUUCUAAAGCUAAAUAUUGGCCAGAGACCGAUAGCGCACAAGUAGAGUGAUCGAAAGAUGAAAAGCACUUUGAAAAGAGGGUUAAAUAGCACGUGAAAUUGUUGAAAGGGAAGGAUUUAUGACCAGACUUUUUCUAGGCGGAUCAUCCGGUGUUCUCACCGGUGCACUUUGUCUAGUUUAGGCCAGCAUCGAUUUUCGGCAGCGGAUAAAAGCUUCAGGAAUGUGGCUCCUCCGGGAGUGUUAUAGCCUGUUGUAUAAUACGCCGCUGGGGAUCGAGGUACGCGCUUCUGCAAGGAUGCUGGCGUAAUGGUUAUCAAUCA